GACGAACCGUGCGAACGUUGUUCGGAAUAACUGGGCUUAAAGGGAGCGUAGGCGGGCUAACAAGUCUGGGGUGAAAUCCCUCGGCUCAACUGAGGAACUGCCUUUGAAACUGUACGGCUUGAGGCCGGGAGGGGGUAGCGGAAUUCCCAGUGUAGCGGUGAAAUGCGUAGAUACUGGGAGGAACACCAGUGGCGAAGGCGGCUACCUGGACCGGUUCUGACGCUGAGGCGCGAAAGCGUGGGUAGCAAACAGG
This 253-nucleotide ribosomal RNA is filed under the name uncultured bacterium. RNAcentral's name for it is "partial 16S ribosomal RNA". It matches the Rfam family "Bacterial small subunit ribosomal RNA", at positions 524 to 776 of the family's 1533-position model. The record is from RNAcentral.